GGAAUUUCGCUAAGCGAAAUUAGAGAAAGACAAAUAUGACUUCACUCAAAUGAGGACUUUAAGAUACAAAACAGAUGAACAUAAGGGAAGGGAGCAAAAAUAAUAUUAAAAACAGGGAGGGGGACAAAACAUAAGAGACUCUUCAAUAUGGAGAAAAAAACAGGGCUACUGGAGGGGUUGUGGAAGGAGGGAUGGGCUAAAUGGGUAAGGGCCACUAAGGAAUCUACUCCUGAAAUCAUUGUUGCACUAUAUGCCAACUAACUUGGAUGUAAAUUUAAAAAAUAAAUAAAAUGGAAAAAAAUACAACUCAAAAACAAAAGAACAGUGAACAAAAGAGGGGGGGAUGUUAGAAGUAAUGAUAAAAUCACACGUUGGAAAACAGGAAAUAAGGAGUAUUUUGAUUAGUUGGAAAAAAAAUAGACAAGUCACUAGCAAACUUAAUCAAGUAAAAGGGCAAGGAAGUAAAAAUAUAAAAAAGUAAAAUGGUGAAACAAUAAAACAAAAUAACUUUUAAUUUUAAAGACUAUUUUGUACAAUGCUACAAAGAAGUUUAGAAACCUAGAUGAAAUGGUAAUGGCCUAGGAAAACAUAAUGUGUAAAAUGACUCCAGUAGAGAUAAGUUUAAGCAGACUAAUUUUCAUAAAGGAAAUGGAAAAGAUUGUCGAAGAGCUAUACUAUGGAAAGGACUCUAGGUCAGAUGGCUUCACAGGAUAAUUCUGCCAAACUUUCAUAGUUAACCCCUUUGCUACAUAAUGUAUUCCAGGGCACUGGAAAAGAAGAAACACUUCCAGAUUAUUUGUGUGAAGCAAAUCCAACAUUGAUCCCUAUACUAGAUUGCAAAAUAAACCCCAAUUCUUCAUUUAUGCCUACAUCCACAUACUUCGCAAUGGAGUUUUGUUGUGCCCUCCCUCCCUGACUCUGGGCUCAGCCAUGGAAGUUUGGCCAAUGGGGUUUUCACAAACAAGAUGCAAGCGUGGCUUUGAAAAUACCUUAUGCAAUUGAGGAUUUCUCUCAUUUUGCUCUCUGCCUUUAUUAUGAAAAUUUUGUGUCUAACCUAGCCUGACCAAAGCCAUCCUGGAUCAAUCAAGGUAUCUGACUGUCCCAGACAGGUGAGUGGGUCCACGUAAGACCAGAAAUGCUGCCCAGCCAAGUCCAACCUAAAUCACCAGCCUAUGGAUUUGUGAGCUAAACACAUACUUAUUAUCUUAAGGCAUUGAUAUUUAAAAUGAUUUAUUCACAGUAACAGACAACUGAUACAGGGGCGCCUGGGCGGCUCAGUCGGUUGAGCUUCCGACUUCGGCUCAUGUCAUGAUCUCGUGGUUCAUGAGUUCGAGCCCCGCAUCGGGCAUCGUGCUGACAGCUCGGAGCCUGGAGCUUGCUUCAGAUUCCAUGUCUCCCUCUUUCUCUCUGCUCCUUGCCUGUUCACACUCUGUCUCUAUCUCUCAAAAAUAAAUAAACAUUAAAAAAAAAUUUUUUUUUAAAUGGACAACUGAUACAGAAAUUGGUGCCAAAUCAAAAAACUAAUAUAUGUGACAUUGGAGCUGGGCUGUGGGUGGAACUUGGAAAAAUGAUGAGAAAAUUAUUUUGGGAGGCUGAAAGAUGCAAGGAAACCUAGCACCUUGUAGUAACCUGGAAGGUGGAAGAUUUAUCUACUGAACAUUUGGGCUUGAAAAAAGACAUUCCUAGGCAGGAUGUUGAAAAUGUCAACUAUCACUCGGAAGAGAAUUAGCCAGGUUUGAAGUAGAAUUUAGAGGGAAUGUAAAGGUGCUAGAAUAAUAACUCUCAUCUUCAUCCCUUUAAGCCAUUAAAAGAUCUGACUUAAGAUCUAGCUUUAAGUAAAAACAAAGUCAAGGACUGAAAGACCCUUUGCCAAGACCUCUGAAAGAAUCAAGGCAUUAUCUAAUAGACUUUUCCAGUUGAUUAAGAUGACUUCGAGGAAACAUGAGAUUCCUGUCCCUCAGCAGCUUGAUUGAUACCUUAAAGUAUCAGUGAUUAAACCCAGAGAGCAAGCAAGAUCUCAAAAAUGAUAGGGUAUGGCUUUUGGUGUAGAGAGUGGAUUUAAAUCAGGCACAGAAGAUCCAAAGAACUUUUUAGGGAGCUAUACUAAUAAAAAGUGGCAUCAGCCUAGAUUAAAAGGGACUAAAUGUAAAAAAGACUCUAGGCCCCCAGCUUUCUUUGGCCAGGACACAGGCUGAGGAUGUUGUUCAGAGGCGUGUUUUCCAGUGCUCUCUUCAGAAGUGCUCAAGGAGGGCAAUGCAAAGUGAAAGAUGUAGACGGUGAAGCCAAGAGCCUUGGGAAACAAUGGACAGGGAUGUCACUUCCAGUGUGGCAGAUAAACUCCAAUAUGGCCUGCAACGAUCCCUGCCUCCUAGUAGUCACACCCUUGUGUAACUCCCUCCUCCUGGGUGUGAGCAGAACCUGUAAGGCGCUUCUACACUUGAUCUUAGCCAAAAGGCCGAGAAGCUAUUGUAAGGUGCUUCUAAUAGAAUCUGGCUAAAGUGAUGGUAUGUCACUUCUGUAAUCAUGUUAACAUAUGAUUCUAAUUUCUAUCUUUCUAGCGGACUCUAAUGACUCUCCCUUGCUGACUUGGAUGAAGUAAGCUGUCCUAUGGAGAGACCCACAUGGCAGGGAAGUGAGGGCAGUUUCUGGCCAAUAACCAUUCAAUAGUUGAGGCCCUCAGUCCAGCAAUUAACAAGGAGCUGGAUCCUGCUAACAACCACAUGACUUCCCUAGUCAAGCCUCAAAUGAGACCCCCAACUCUGGCCAACAUCUUGAUUAUAGCCUUGUGAGAGGUUCUGACGCAGAGGACCAGAGGACUCAGUUGCUCUGUGAGGAUUUUGGAAGAUUCGAAAACUAUACAACCACCAGCCUAGCCACCUCUUUCCUGGAAUCUGGUAGAAGUUUUAAGAGCCUGAAUAUAAUUUACCAUGCUCUUGCCUUCUGUCUCUGUAAUAAUAGAAGCAUGUGUCAAAAUGUAGCCUACAUUAGCUCGUGUCCCUGAGUUAUUACAAUGAGUAGAACUUGCUUGGUGACUCACCAUGGACAGGUAGCACGAGCGAAAAAUAAAUUUGGUUGUUUUAAGCCGUCGAGAUUUGGACAUUUUCCGUUACCGCUGCAUAAUCGAAUCUAUUUUGAGAGACCUUUCUACCCAACCCAAUUAAUUUAGUUGCCUUCAAGAUGGCCACCAUAAGUUAAGAAAGAGAGAAUGGGGAGAAGUAUGAAGAGAAGGGGGAAAAGAAAUAAAAACAGUUGGAGAGUUGUCGAAGUAACUUUUAAUGUUGAUGGCACAUAGAAUAGAUUGGAAAUAGAUAGCUUACUAAGGUUUGGUUCACCCCCAUUAUAUAGAGUGGGGUUCACCCCCAUUAUAUAGAGUGAAUAGUACCCUCUGAAAUCUUUUAAUGUGGUACUGCUGUAACUAAAUUACCCACUUAUAUGUUCUAAUAUAUAUUACCCUAUAUCUCUCAUAAUUACCCACUAUAGCAUCUCUCUAACCAAUGACUCUCAGAAGUUGAAAGAGGCAGGGGCCACUUGACUUUUCUUUAAAGUGAAGAGUUCUUCAAAUCAAAUUACAAAAAUUGUGGUUAUUUUAAGGGUUUACCUUGACAAAUGAAUGCAUGUAACCCUCACAAUAAAAUGCCUUAGAACUAUUCGGA
Molecule: long non-coding RNA, 3653 nt
Organism: Leopardus geoffroyi (Geoffroy's cat)
Lineage: Eukaryota; Metazoa; Chordata; Mammalia; Carnivora; Felidae
Exons: 2
Source: RefSeq, a predicted model, not a curated record